GGUUCUGUGGCCGGGGAACGGGAAGCCCCCGCUGCCUGGAGCCCGCCCCGGCCUCGCGGGUAGGCCUCGGUGCGUCCCUGGGCUCGGGUAACCAAGUUCCCGGGGCGGAUCCGGCCCGGCCGGGCAAGCAAACUCCCUACUCGGUCACCAGGUCGGAGGGAGACGCGCUCACGGCCCGCUAAGGGCCUCUCGCCCGGCGUGCGCGAUCUACCUAAGCCAGGUUUUGGUACAUGACCACGGUGAGGUGUAUUGGUGGUCAGGGGUCGUUUUGGACUUUGUUUUGCGAUUUAAAAACAUGAUGGGGGUACAGUCGCAAAUAAGCGGACGGCUCUAGCCUGGUCCUAGGACACAAAGAGAAAAAAUGUUUAGGGCCAGUGUAUAGGCGUUGAGCUGGGAAAAAAUAAGUUAACUUCAAUUUGCUGCCAUAUGGUUUAAGGGGGGGGGUGUUUUCUUUGUUUCACUACCACAGGUCUUUAAAUAAAAAGUACUAGGAGACUUGGAGAAAAGUUUAUCCUGGUAAGGUUAAUGCAAGAUCGUAGAAGUUGCUUGAAGAUAUUGUGUACUCUUGAUGUUAAAAUCCUGUAUAGGUGAUGUAGGAGUGGAGAAAGUUUAGUGAGUCAGAUUCGUGUGUGCAUCACACCGUUGGAAGGGAAUUCUUAGGGAAAUACAGGCCUUAGAAUUUCUAGAUUGAAAAAACUCAGACUGAUCAAAAUUAUAUUUAGAGCAAAUAUCAAGAUUUGGAUUACUAAUUGUAAUGUUUAGAUUGACUCAGUAUAUUGUGUCCAAGGAUUCUGUAUUUUAAAGUCAUGAAACUAAUAGGAGACAUGCUGUAUUUUCUUCACUUACUGUGUCCAAGUGUUGGACCUUUUUAAUAAGGUACAUAGGCUCAUAGAAAUAUUUAGAAGCCAUGCCUGUUUUCCCAUUUUUUUCCUAUUUAAUGGAAAUACAUUUCCUAUCUUGUAAUUUAAAAUAAGUUGUAGUUAAAGUUAUAAUCAGAAUUUAAUUUGGGAUAUCAAAGUUUAUCUUAGACUGUAGUUGUGUGUACAUUGACUGCCUUCCAGACAAAAUGAAAGUGAGCAAUGGCUGCAGGCUCUCUUACUCAUAAGAACUGGGAGAGUUAAAAAUUAUAGAAUCAUAGUAAUGGAAGAAGAGUGUUUCAGACUCAUUCUCCUGUUUCAAGAAAGUAUCCAGGUACACCCAAACUAAGUAUUUUAAUUGAAUGAUGUCCCAGGAAGAUUUUUUUUACACUCAGUAAUCUUCUAGAGUAAUUAAAAUCCCAUUCUUGAAUGUAACACAAAUUCUGUAAUUUAAGCCCCUUUCCCCUUAUUUGGUCAUAUGGAAAGCCAUGUGGUCAUGAAACUUACUUUUAGUUACUUGUAUAUUAGGGAGCCUCAGCACAUGCAUAGCACACCUUUUCUGAUAACUUACAAAGUGACAAAUGUUUCUGGAAAAGGAAUGUCCCUAUAAUAUAUCAGUUUAAGUCUUAUAGCACAGUAUUUAACAAGGGAUUACUUUUUAAGGGUUUAGUUUAUGGCCUGAGACAGGAACAGCAAUCUUAUUAAGAAUCACAUUUAAUUCAUUAGAUAAAUAUUUUGUGCAAAUUUAGUUUGUUGCCAAUUAUUUUCAUCAGUAGGAAUUUAGCCUAUCAACAAAUGUAGAGUUGGACUCCCUCGGCUAGGGGUCAAAUCGGAGCUGUAGCUGCUGGCCUACACCACAGCCACAGCCACAGCAGCAGCAAGGUGGGAUCUGAGCUACGUCUGUUACCUACACCACAGCUCGUGGCAAUGCAAGAUCCUUAACCCACCAGGGAUCGAACUGUCGUCCUCAUGGAUACUCCUUGGGUUUGUUAACCACUGAGCCACAAUGGGAACUCCUAAUUUGCCUACUUUUGCUAUGGACUAGAGCUUUAGAGAUGAUGGAACUGAGAUUGUUGGGGGUCCAGAGAGGGCCCUCUCUCCUUGGUAUCACGUUAUUUCCUUUGGGCAGUGGAGGGUGAGUCGCUGGGCUGAAUCAGUUCUGUACCUGUUUCCAGCCGUACCAUGUAGAUUGGGGUAGAAGUCAUUGUUCCCGAGGGAUGGGAAACUCCCCACCUUCUCAAACCCUGUCUGAAUGGAGAUGGCAGUACUUUACAUUAAUUAAGCCUCCUAUUUGCCAGCCAGACUUUUCCAAUCAGAAUUCCAGGGUCUCUUUUAAUUCACUCUAUAAGGUUCCUGUCAUGUCAUUUUACAACAUCUGUGCCUGGUCACUUUACAUUCACCAUACCAACACCGUCUGGUUCCAUUUUAUACACAGUGAAGUCAAUCAUUUUCUACUUUAUUAUUAUUUUUAUUUUUUGUCUAUUUAGGGCUGCACCUGUAGCUUAUGGAGGUUUCCAGGCUAGGGGUUGAAUCAGAGCUAUAGCUGCUGGCCUACACCACAGCCACAGCAAAGCAAGAACCGAGCUGAAUCUGCGACCUACAACCAAGGCUCAUGGCAACGCCAGAUUCUUAACCCACUGAGCAGGCCCAGGGAUGGAAACUGCGUCCUCAUGGAUGCUAGUCAGAUUUGUUUCCGCUGAGCCAUGAUGGGAACUCCCUUCAACUUUAUUUGUGAGAGUGUUUUUUAAAUGUUUCACUAUGUAUUUCUUUUAAAUAUGUUUAAAAUAUAACUAUGUUAUUUAGAGCUUAAAAUCCAUUUCAUAGCUUUGUGGAUUAAAAAAAACCCAUCAAAUUACUCACUGCUUAUUAGCUAAAAUGAAAUUAUGAAUGUCCUUACAUGAAUUGGAGCAUAACUGAUUAUCUCCAGUUAGGAAUACAUGUAUUACCUUAAAUUAUUCAACCUUUUUUCUUUCUCUACUGUGUAUAAUGCACUGGACUUGGUGUGAAGAACGUGGGCAUGAAUGAAUGAGACACAGCUCCUCACCUUAAAUCUGGUGGGGAAAACACAUGGGUACACAGAUUCUCCAGUAUGGUUGGUGUCACAGCAAUGCCAGAUCCUUAACCCCCUGAGACAGGCCAUAAGGAAGGGAUCAACAAAUUGAUGACAAAAUAAUUACCAACUUUUUUCUUACUAACGUUGCCCAGUUUCAGAGAGGGUGAUUUCUAACUUUGCUUCUUGAAUGCUCUCCUAGGUUUUUUGUGGCUACUCUUAAUUUUAGAUUAAAUGAUUUGAAAUUUUGGAUUAAAUGGUUUGAGAUUUCAAGUCGAGUUCUUAUCUCUACCUGCUUUUUGAAGAUUUCCUAUGUAAAAAUAAAUGGACAAGUGAUCAUAUAGGAUGUUAUUCCCUGAAGCAUCUGAUACUGUUUACUUUCAAAAUGUAAAUACAAGAGUAGGCAGGUCAUUACUCUACUUUUUGAAAGUUGUACAAUCUUUUGAAAUUGUACCACUCUUUUGUUAGUAAAAUUGAAAUUUUGUCUUCUCUAAAAAAUGUUAUUUGAUGCUAAAAAUGUACAUGUAGACAGUCCCAGAGUGAACUGCAAUAAUUUCGUUUUCAAGAUUUGGGGACUGCAAAGCCAGGAUUGGCAAUUAGCAUGUGAUUUUAAUGUGGUGAUUUUUGCCUUCCUGUGGCAGAGUAAAUUGACUCCCACUGAAAAGAUUUUUGCCAUCAUGUCAGUUUUAUGAUCUGUUAAAAGAUUAUGACAUUCUUACUUAAAACUUUGUCAAUUUCAAUAAAGGAUAGAUAAGAAUGUAAAUAUUUUCAUUUCUGGGGUCUCGGAUUUCAUGAUUUUGUAUGGUGUUGAUUUUAAAUCCCAUUUUCCACGUAUAUUGACAUUAUACAUGGAAACGUAUAAAGCGAGACUACAGCUUGCUUCUCUUUUUAAACUAGAAAUUUAAUUUGGAAGAAAUUCCUUUUAGUCUUGGAAUUUUAAGAUGUAUUAGCAGUAGUCUUGUUUAAAGAUUGAAAACUUUUUCACAGUGGAAAAUUAGGAAAUUUCUGAUGUGAAGUGACCAAACAAAUCAUUCGCAUUAGGCUUGCAACAUUUCAGAGGAGAAAUCCAUGCCCUUCUGAGUCAUAACUUCAUUUUCAAAAACAUUUAUAACAUCUAUCAUAUACAUUUGCUUCAGUUUGGAUUUUUUUUUAGACUGGGGGUUCCAAAAGUUUUUGUGAUGAUUAAAGGAUCAUUGGGUUAUCCUAAAAAUAGUGUUUUUUAUUUCAUUAUAAAUAUUGCUGUGGGGCUACAUUCAUGAAUAUGGAAACAUUUCCUACCUUUCAUACUCAUAAAUUCUAAAAGUAAUGGUAUCUGUAAUUAAUACCUUUGUUAAUAAAAGUUUAAUUUCAUGUUAAUUUUAUUUUAUUUUUUGUUGCUUUUUAGGGCGCACCCACGCUGCAUAUGGAAGUUCUCAGGCUAGGGGUUGAAUCGGAGAUGCAGCUGCUGGCCUACAUCACAGCCACAGCAAUACCAGAUCCUUAACCCACUGAGCAGGGUAAGGAUAGAACCCAUGUCCUCAUGGAUACUAGUCGGAUUCGUUUCCGCUGCACCACAAUGGAAACUCCUCAUGUUAACUUUAGUGUUGUGCUAGGAGCCAUGAUGUUUCAUUUCCUUAAAACGAUAAGCUACUCUUUUUUUCAGUCACUGAAGUUAUUUAUCUAUUUAUUUAUUGUCUUUUUCCCUUUUCUAGGGCCACUCCCAUGGCAUAUGGAGGUUCCCAGGCUAGGGGGUCUAAUCAGAGCUGUAGCUGCAGGCCUACACCACAGUCAGAGCAAUGCCAGAUCCUUAACCCACUGAGCAAGGCCAUGGAUCAAACCCCCAACCUCAUGGUUCCCAGUCAGAUUUGUUAAUCACUGAGCCAUGACGGGAACUCCUGGAGUUAUUUAUUAAAACUGAGCAAAGAGCCCCUAAAAGAUAUCCAGAUCAGAGCACUUUUUAAAUGUGGUAAUUUUUAUAUAUUAUCUGUGUCCUGAUUGAUGUUGGUGAUAAUGGAUAAGGCAGAAGUUUCCUGAGGGAACACAUUACCUAGAUUCCAUGGGAAGGAAGUGAGUGGUCAAGAAAAGAGAGGGUGUUUGGGGGAUGGUAAGCUCAAGACCAGGAGGGUGAUGGCAGAAGAAAGUGAGGCAGGAGUAGACAUGAAGCUUGGAAAUGAUCUGUAGCCACAGGGAGUCAGAAACAAAAAACCAACACUCAUGCUGAUGAAAUGUCUUAGGACUUGGGUACCAGGAGGUGAAAACUCAGUGUCCUUGGAAACUAGCAAGAGAUGAAUUGCCUUGUUAGGCACUUUCCAGGGUGCCCUGCUGCCUUUCUCACCGCCCUCCCAUGGUAUUUGUUAAUCGUUGUUUUUAGCUAGUGACAAAGCAGAGUGUGAGUCCGUCUAGCUCAUGUAUGUGGUCCUUUUCUCUCUUCAUGGCUGCAAUAUCAACCAGCAGUCCAGCAGACUUUGCCAGAAGCCACAAGGGGUAUCAGGGAGAGAGUAUGGGUGGAUCUUUGCAGAUGUAUCACUGCUGUGAGAAAGAACCAAUAGAGUAAGCAGUGAGAUCCCGCUGUAUAGCACAGAGAACUGUAUCUAGUCACUUGUGAUGGAACAUGGUGGAAGAUAAUGUGAGAGAAAGAAUAUAUGUAUGUAUGAUUGCAUCGCUUUGCUGUCCAGAAGAGAUUGACAGAACACUGUAAGUCACCUAUAAUGGAAAAGGUAAAAAUCAUUUAAAAAAAAAAAAAAA
This 5631-nucleotide long non-coding RNA is filed under the name Sus scrofa (pig). Its description in RNAcentral is "lncRNA (ENSSSCG00015030848.1)". Lineage: Eukaryota; Metazoa; Chordata; Mammalia; Artiodactyla; Suidae. The record is from RNAcentral.